This is a long non-coding RNA of Drosophila arizonae, 414 nucleotides long. The record is from RefSeq and is a predicted model, not a curated record. NCBI's taxonomy places the organism in Eukaryota, Metazoa, Arthropoda, Insecta, Diptera, Drosophilidae.
AAAUCAGAAAUUUCUUGGUUAGGCCACGUGCUCCAGACUUUCAUUUGCGUUGAAAACUUUGUGAAAAGAUGGCACGUUGACUUGAAAAAAUUCGUCGACUGCAAAAACAAGAUGGCGACAUGAAAGACAAGCUUCCAUUUUAUUGGACGUGAAAAGGGACAAACAGUUGCGGUCAUGAUUUGAUGACCUAAAUGAGGUUAUAUUGAAGACGAAUUAUCUCACAUGGUGCAAGGUAAAUAUCCAAACUUUUUAGAUCCACGUGUUUUAUAUUGAUAUAUGUACAUAUAUAUGAAAUGAUGAUUAUUUCAAUUACCUUUUGCGGUUUCCACCAGAAAGCAUUUGCUUAAAGAUGGCCUUAGGCGUCUGAUUCAAUCCGUUUAUAUUAAUAUUGUAUUUAUGUAGACCAUACUUCUA